CACUGCACCGCUUUGCAGCCACUGAGCUGCAGGCGCUGCAGCCGCCACGGCCCCGAGGGCGUGCACGGCACUGCUGCAAUGCCGGGCACCCCCCGAGGUGCACCCUUGCAAUGCUGGGCACCCCCCCUAGAUGCACCCUUGCAAGGCCGAGCACCCUUUGCAAGUAGGUGGAAUUCCAUUCGUGCACCCUUGCAACGCCGUGCACCCCUUGCAAUGCUGUGCACCCCCAUGGGUGCACCCUUGCAAUGCGGUGCACCCUUGCAAUGCCACGCAACCCCCCACGGGUGCACCCUUGCAAUGUCGGGCAUGCUUUGCAACGCCCCCAUCUCCACUCGUGCACCCUUGCAGUGCCGUGCACCCCCAUAGAUGCACCCUUGCAACACCGUGCACCCCCCUGGGUGCACCCUUGCAAUACCAUGCCCCCCCCACGCGUGCACCCUUGCAACACCGUGCACCCUUGCAAUGCCGUGCACGCCUGCAGCGCCGUGCACCCCCCACAGGAGCACCGUUGCAACGCAGGACGCACCCGUAGGCGCCCCCCCGCCCCGUUCUCCC
Molecule: long non-coding RNA, 555 nt
Filed under: Anas platyrhynchos platyrhynchos (common mallard)
Lineage: Eukaryota; Metazoa; Chordata; Aves; Anseriformes; Anatidae
Description: lncRNA (ENSAPLG00000030545.1)
Source: RNAcentral